This 2457-nucleotide ribosomal RNA is filed under the name Bifidobacterium animalis subsp. animalis. RNAcentral describes it as "bacterial LSU rRNA". It matches the Rfam family "Bacterial large subunit ribosomal RNA", at positions 481 to 2804 of the family's 2925-position model. Lineage: Bacteria; Bacillati; Actinomycetota; Actinomycetes; Bifidobacteriales; Bifidobacteriaceae. The record is from RNAcentral.
UGACCGAUAGCGUACGAGUACCGUGAGGGAAAGGUGAAAAGCACCCCGGGAGGGGAGUGAAAGAGUUCCUGAAACCGUGCGCCCGCGAACCGUCGGAGCCCCCUGGUGGGGUGACGGCGUGCCUAUCGAAAAAUGAGUCUGCGAGUCAGUGGCAUGUGGCGAGCAUAAGCCGUGUGGUGUAUGCGUAGCGAAAGCGAGUCUUAAAAGGCGUUUUGAGUCGCGUGUCCUGGACCCGAAGCGGGAUGAUCUAGCCCUGGUCAGGUUGAAGCGUGGGUAAGACCGCGUGGAGGACCGCACCCACUUAGGUUGAAAACUGAGGGGAUGAACUGGGGUUAGGGGUGAAAGGCCAAUCAAAUUCCGUGAUAGCUGGUUCUCUUCGAAAUGCAUUUAGGUGCAGCGUCGGUUGAUUGCGUGUGGGGGGUAGAGCUACUGGAUGCUUGCGGGCCCGUACCGGGUACCAACAGCAACCAAACUCCGAAUACCCAUCGCGUCUAUUCCGGCAGUGAGUCGGCGGGGGAUAAGCUCCGUCGUCGAGGGGGAGACAGCCCUGACCGUCGUCUAAGGUCCCCAAGCGCGUGCUAAGUGGGAAAGGAUGUGGAGUCGCAUAGACAGCCAGGAGGUUGGCUCAGAAGCAGCCAUCCUUGAAAGAGUGCGUAACAGCUCACUGGUCUAGUGGUUCCGCGCCGACAAUGUAGCGGGGCUCAAGCACGCCACCGAAGACGCGGAUGCAACGUUGUGUUGCGUGGUAGGAGAGCGUCCCACACCGGGGCGAAGCGGCGGGGGAACCCGGCCGUGGACUGUGUGGGAGUGAGAAUGCAGACAUGAGUAGCGAGAGCAGGGUGAGGAUCCCUGCCGCUGGAAGACCAAGGGUUCCAGGGCCACGUUCGUCGUCCCUGGGUGAGUCGGGUCCUAAGGCGAGGCCGACAGGCGUAGUCGAAUGGAUGAACGGGUCGAUAUUCCCGUACCGGCUUUCGGACCGACCAGCAGCCCGUGUGAACAAGGGCCAUCCGAUACGGUUGAUGGGGGCUUCGGCCUUCUGAUUCCGUUGCUGUUUGGCCUGGACGCGCAUGGGUUGAGCGUUUCAGGAGUGACGCGGACGGGUAGCCGGCCGGGGAGGUGGUUUUCCCUGGUCAAGCGUGUGGCCCCGCCCCCAGGCAAAUCCGGGGGCAUGAUGGGGUGAGGCGUGAUGAUGGGCGCUGUUCAGGCGUGAUAUCCGGUGAUCCCGUCGGCCGAGAAAAGCUUCGGCGCGAGGUCCGUUGCCGCCCGUACCCCAAACCGACACAGGUGGUCUGGUAGAGUAUACCGAAGCGAUCGAGCGAAUCCUGGUCAAGGAACUCGGCAAAUUGCUCCCGUGCCUUCGGCAUAAGGGAGACCCCCGGCGGUUCCGGCCCCGUUCGCGGGCCGCGGGCGGCUGGGGGUGGCACAGGCCAGGGGGUAGCGACUGUUUACCAAAAACACAGGUGCAUGCCAAGACGCAAGUCGCCGUAUAUGCACUGACGCCUGCCCGGUGCCGGAAGGUUAAGAGGAUCCAUCAGCGUCCCCUCGCGGGAUGCGAAGUGGUGAAUUCAAGCCCCGGUAAACGGCGGUGGUAACUAUAACCAUCCUAAGGUAGCGAAAUUCCUUGUCGGGUAAGUUCCGACCUGCACGAAUGGCGUAACGACUUCCCCGCUGUCUCGACCAGGAGCUCGGCGAAAUUGCAGUACGAGUAAAGAUGCUCGUUAAGCGCAGAAGGACGAAAAGACCCCGGGACCUUUACUAUACCUUGGUAUUGGCAUCAGGUGCGGAUUGUGUAGCAUAGGCGGGAGGCUUCGAAGCCACGGCGCCAGCCGUGGUGGAGCCGGCCAGUGAAAUACCGCUCUGUCCCCAUCUGAUGCCUAACCCGGACAAGUGAGCCUUGUCGGGGAGAGUGCCUGGCGGGUAGUUUAACUGGGGCGGUUGCCUCCCAAAGAGUAACGGAGGCGCUCAAAGGUCCGCUCGGCCCGGUUGGCAAUCGGGUGUCGAGUGUAAUCGCACAAGCGGGCUUGACUGCGAGAUCGACGGAUCGAGCAGGGACGAAAGUCGGAGAUAGUGAUCCGGUGCCGGCGUACGGACGCGGCAUCGCUCAACGGAUAAAAGGUACCCCGGGGAUAACAGGCUGAUCAUUCCCAAGAGUCCAUAUCGACGGGAUGGUUUGGCACCUCGAUGUCGGCUCGUCGCAUCCUGGGGCUGGAGCAGGUCCCAAGGGUUCGGCUGUUCGCCGAUUAAAGCGGCACGCGAGCUGGGUUCAGAACGUCGUGAGACAGUUUGGUCUCUAUCCUCUGCGCUCGUUGGAAUCCUGAGGAGGCCUGCCCAUAGUACGAGAGGACCUGGGUGGACGAACCUCUGGUAUGCCAGUUGUCCCGCCAGGGGCACGGCUGGUUGGCCACGUUCGGGAGGGAUAACCGCUGAAAGCAUCUAAGCGGGAAGCCCGCUCCAAGA